AUAAUCAUAACCAGUUAUAAUGAACUGAUGUAAUUUAUCUCAUAUGCGCUAUGUCACUGUAGCUUACUAUGGCGAGGGAGGCGAGCGUGUGUGUGUUUGCUGGACAGUCUUUCACUGACACUUAUAGCAGAAGCAGUUGACAGAAUGAAAGUAAACUACAUUUCUUUCCCUCUCCCUCUCUUUCUCUCACUGUGGCCCAUUUGACCUAAUGGCGUGACUUUUUCUCUCCUUUCGACUUGUACAGCUAUACUUCUGGGUACAGAGUUUUCUCCUCCGCGUCUAUCAUGGAUCAGCUGUGAUCGCCGCUGCCGUUUAUCAGUAGCUAUUGUCACUAUUCUGUGAAGAGCGCCAGCACGCAAGAGCCAAUCACAGCCAUUU
RNAcentral lists this long non-coding RNA (378 nucleotides) under Danio rerio (zebrafish). RNAcentral describes it as "si:dkey-206l1.4 (ENSDARG00000100073.2)". Lineage: Eukaryota; Metazoa; Chordata; Actinopteri; Cypriniformes; Danionidae. The record is from RNAcentral.